Pelobates cultripes (western spadefoot toad) is the source of this 205-nucleotide non-coding RNA. Lineage: Eukaryota; Metazoa; Chordata; Amphibia; Anura; Pelobatidae. The record is from the annotation of a GenBank genome assembly.
CCAGGGUCCUCUUUAGUCUCUUGCAGUUCCAAAUUGUGGGUAGUCGGUUGUUAUAUCCAUGGUUCCCAGUCCAUGUGCGGCAAUGUGCAGAUGUGACUUUGGAAGUACUGUAGCCCUGCACUGCUCAACAAAAUCCUUGCUUCUCUCUGAUCAUCCAGUUGCUUUUGGAAAUAUUUUCUCUCUGCCUCCCUGCGUUCACCAUGCC